This 500-nucleotide ribosomal RNA is filed under the name uncultured organism. RNAcentral's name for it is "bacterial SSU rRNA". It matches the Rfam family "Bacterial small subunit ribosomal RNA", at positions 29 to 507 of the family's 1533-position model. The record is from RNAcentral.
AGCGAACGUUCGCGGCGGGCCUAACACAUGCAAGUCGAACGCGAAAGGGAUUCGUCCCCGGUAGCGUGGCGUCCGGGUGAGUAACACGUAGGAAACCUUCCCUCGAGCGGGGGAUAACGUCCCGAAAGGGACGCUAAUACCGCAUAUGCCCACGCCGACCUCGGUCGGAGAGGGGAAAGCUGGCCUCUGUACACAAGCUAGCACUCGAGAAUGGUCCUGCGGCGCAUCAGCUAGUUGGUGGGGUAACGGCCUACCAAGGCGAAGACGCGUAGCUGGUCUGAGAGGAUGAUCAGCCACACUGGCACUGAAACACGGGCCAGACUCCUACGGGAGGCAGCAGUGGGGAAUAUUGGACAAUGGGCGCAAGCCUGAUCCAGCCACGCCGCGUGAGUGAUGAAGGCCUUCGGGUUGUAAAGCUCUGUGGGUAGGGACGAAAACGGUCCGGAAGAAACGACGGAUCCUUGACGGUACCUACUUAGCAAGCACCGGCUAACUCUGUG